This 288-nucleotide ribosomal RNA is filed under the name Salmonella enterica subsp. enterica serovar Infantis. Its description in RNAcentral is "partial 23S ribosomal RNA". It matches the Rfam family "Bacterial large subunit ribosomal RNA", at positions 1211 to 1503 of the family's 2925-position model. Lineage: Bacteria; Pseudomonadati; Pseudomonadota; Gammaproteobacteria; Enterobacterales; Enterobacteriaceae. The record is from RNAcentral. RNAcentral also lists the same sequence under 1 other name.
ACUCAGGUGUUGUUGGGUAGGGGAGCGUUCUGUAAGCCUGCGAAGGUGGCCUGUGAGGGUUGCUGGAGGUAUCAGAAGUGCGAAUGCUGACAUAAGUAACGAUAAAGCGGGUGAAAAGCCCGCUCGCCGGAAGACCAAGGGUUCCUGUCCAACGUUAAUCGGGGCAGGGUGAGUCGACCCCUAAGGCGAGGCCGAAAGGCGUAGUCGAUGGGAAACGGGUUAAUAUUCCCGUACUUGGUGUUACUGCGAAGGGGGGACGGAGAAGGCUAUGUUGGCCGGGCGACGGUU